RNAcentral lists this ribosomal RNA (501 nucleotides) under uncultured Clostridium sp. RNAcentral describes it as "partial 16S ribosomal RNA". Lineage: Bacteria; Bacillati; Bacillota; Clostridia; Eubacteriales; Clostridiaceae. The record is from RNAcentral.
CACGUAGUUAGCCGUGGCUUCCUCCUUGGGUACCGUCAUUAUCGUCCCCAAAGACAGAGUUUUACAAUCCGAAGACCGUCAUCACUCACGCGGCGUUGCUGCAUCAGGGUUUCCCCCAUUGUGCAAUAUUCCCCACUGCUGCCUCCCGUAGGAGUCUGGGCCGUGUCUCAGUCCCAAUGUGGCCGAUCACCCUCUCAGGUCGGCUACGCAUCGUCGCCUUGGUGAGCCGUUACCUCACCAACUAGCUAAUGCGACGCGGGUCCAUCUCAUAGCGGAUUACUCCUUUAAUUGCUGCUUCAUGCGAAGCUACAAUCUUAUGCGGUAUUAAUCUUCCUUUCGAAAGGCUAUUCCCCUCUAUGAGGCAGGUUACCCACGUGUUACUCACCCGUCCGCCGCUAAUCCGCUCCCGAAGGAGCUUCAUCGCUCGACUUGCAUGUGUUAAGCACGCCGCCAGCGUCGUCUCGUAGCCACGGACGUCGAAACUACUACUCGUAGACGUAC